CGUGGAAGCGAUAGAAAGAGUUGUGAAAAAGCGAUUUUGCUUGCCCCUCGACGCAGUGAAAAUCCCGUUUCCCGGUGUCGAGGCCCGGCUUUUGGUCUGCGCAAUCUUCAAUGUGUAACAACGCAAGGAGGGCCAACAGAGCCUGCCGGAGUUGCUGGCUCUAACUUGACAAAUCUGCACAAAACGAAUCGUAGACUCGACUGGAGCCUCCAGUGGUAGAUCUCUGGUUGUGAAUUUCCGUCUGCUUUUUGGGAGGCAACUCUACGGGCAAGUUCACACGGCGUCUGCAGCAUCACUACUAGCACCUGAAACUCAGAAAACCCAGAUCCAACCGUUUUGCUGGCUUCCGCUUCCUGCGGACGCGGUUUUCUCCCAUUUUCUUCACCGCUGGUUCCUCGUUUCGCGCGUGGCUUUCCUCUCUAGCAAAUCUGAUCGAUCGUUUUAUAGGGACCUGUUGUUUCCCGCUGCGCCUUCUCCGGAUUCCUCUCCUAUCUGUAACAUUCUUCCCGAGUCCGAUUCUGAAGCCGUGUGUCUGCUACUACCCUUCUCGACCGUAUUAGUUCCUACGUCUCGCGUAUCACGUUCCCUCUCCGUCGUCGAGGGAUUCUGGGAUCUUCAUUGGCAACACUCAAGUCAGAGGACGACGGUCCCAGCGCGCCUGCAGGUUUUCCUCGUGUCUUUCAAGUUUUCUGAAAACCGUCCAGGAUGUCCGAAAAGCAGUUUUUCAGUGCUGCAGAACUUGCGCUGGACGACGGGUAUCCGACGGAGGCGCCGUCCACGGAAUCCUCUGACGACGAGGACUUCGUCGUCACUUGGAACGAACGCCGGGGGACUUUGGAAGCACCGCCUCGCCGCGGCGGCCGCGUUCCGCCCAAAAGGCUGAGGUGUGUAUCCGUGUUUGAGAAAGACGAGAAAAGGCGCAAGCGAAACGGAUGUUGUGAAGAGCCGGCGAGUGACUUCCUUUACCUGGACCUGCGGGGCGGCGGCGGCCGACGUCCGGCUGGCCGGCCCUUCGAUGACAUGGAAGAUCACCCCGGCAUGUAUUCAGCGAGAAACCCUGAGAAAUGUCAAAGGGUCCGCCAAACCACGUGCGAGUGCUGUGACUUGGCUGUUGUCGACGAGACAGCCGCGUGCAUUGCGUGGAGAUGCGGCUGUGAGCCUGCGUCCAAUCUCUCUCACGGAAACGAGUGUUCUGUCUGCAGCUCCCUCGAUCUUUCCGACGUACCCCUGCUCGCUUAAAGAAUGGCAGAUAGAGGAAACGCGACUGGCUGCUCAUGCGUGAGUCUCUUUUUUUCCGCUGGGACUUAUGCGGAGCAUCGCGCCGCCGGAGACUGAGCGAGCGAAGGGAAGGCCUUUCGAUGAGGUCUUCUCCGUCCAACUUUGACUUCCAGAUCACCUUUUUAGAUGGUUGAAGCAGGGAACCCGCUCUUGGCGAACUAGCGCUAACCAUGUGUAGACCACCAGGUGGGAGGCGAAAGCCAAUGCUGUGCGCAGUGAAGACGCGUAGAAAGGCAUGCAGGGAAACUGGUGGUGCCACUGUGAGGUGAAUCGAACACACAGGAAAAGGUAAUUUGAUGAGAGCGGAUGAGCUGGCGUACGUGGAACGGGCGAGCGAAAAAGCUGGAGCAGCAGCAACAAUGACGUAGCAGGUUUUUUCUCUGAAUGUGUUUCACGCAGUUGUUUUUAACCGGACGAGGUCUCUGGAAAUAUACACGUUUCGUCUGCGAACUACGUUUGGUAUCUGCAUAUCGGGUCAGGAACGAAUGCGAGGGCUGGACAGGAGACACUUUUGAGGUGUGCGCUGCGUUUUUAAGGCUGUACCUGUUUUUUCUUCGAAUGUGCGGUUAUACAAAACACAAACUCUUCUCUGAUGCACGAUCUUUUACAGACCUGCGCUUAGUAGCGGCAGUUCGAGACAGAUCUCCCCAU
This 1929-nucleotide long non-coding RNA is filed under the name Toxoplasma gondii VEG. The record is from RNAcentral. Lineage: Eukaryota; Apicomplexa; Conoidasida; Eucoccidiorida; Sarcocystidae.